CAGGAAACAAUGAUACAUUACUAAUACUUAAUUCAAGUCAGUGGCAGGAAAUGAUAAACCAUAACCAGCAACGCAUUAAUUACAGCAAUGCAUUACUUUUUCUGCAACUCAGAGAAUACCUUAAGUUUGGCAGUUUUUUAGCAACUCAGUCAACAUUGCAUGUAAGCUUAACACAAUAAUGCAUAUUUUUUCUUUUUUGUGUCACUCCUCACCACAUAUGGCAGAUUUAGUGUGAAGAGCCACCUGUACAAGAUUCCUGGGACAGCAGAACAUGCACCUCACGCACUACCCUGGCACCCUGGCUGAACAACCCGCAGCACAUCAUCUCCAGCUGAGAGGGGGACUCAUACAUUCAUUUGAAAUCAGCUCUACUGAGCGUAACACAACUCUUGCAAUCAAAUUUGGCAGAGGCUCUGAAGGCCACAUAGCCAGCAAGGUACACUGACACAUUGCCCUCAAUGACGUCCAGCCCCUUCAUGAACUCUGUGUUGUCCAGUCCAGGGAAUGUGGGUUCCUCAUCAGUAGACUGUACGUGAGGCAUGGUCAGUGCGGUGCAUGGAUGGGGAGUUGCCAUCUGCGAUGACUCAGUGCAGCUCUACAAAAUCAUUGCAAAAGAUUACAGACUUACAGUAUACUAAUCAUGUGUGACACUUUUGUUUUUGAAAGGGUGUUUCGUCUACCUCAAACAAAUGGGACAAUUGCAGCAAUAGGUGUAUUUCCUCCGGUUCGCAAUUUGUAUUUCUCCCAAAUGUCAUUAGAUAGUCUAGCACGGCCUGCCUGUAGUCUAAUCGGAAUUGCUGAGGGUCUGGAUUGUCCCUGUGCCCGCCCUUCGCUCUGAUCACCCCAAAGAAGUGUUCCAGGCAGUCCUGGUUGAGGUGCCUCGUAAAUAGAAACUGAAAUCCUUUCUCUGUGAAUGCAAAUGACAAACAGUACAUUGGCCAACAGCAGAAAACAUGCAGUGGUGGACAAAGCUCAUUAGCAUUAGCAAAGCUCAAUUUGAAUAAUUAUGCCUUAUUGCUGCUACCUUUCAAUUCAGCCCAGAUUUCCUUGAUUGCUCUUAGGUUAUGCCUCCAACCAUUUAGGCAAUUCAAGCUGUUGCCACUGGCACAUCUGACAGAUGCCAGCCAGUUAAUACUCUCAUUGAUAAAAUCAAUAUGUGUCUCUCUGAAGGCAUCCUUUUGUGGUGUGCUGCUGGACAAUGUGCUACUGUUAAAGCAGUCAAACAUCUGGUUAAAGUGGGCUACAAAAUCUGCCGUCGUUUUUGCCCCCUCUCUUAGCUUCCCCAUGUCUGCCAUGGUGAGCAGUGCAGCCGCAACAGAAUGACUAAGAACCUGUAAUAAAAAAAUAAAAAAAAUCCCAUUUUCAGGACCAUAGAUAAAGAUUGUAAAUUGAAUGUUAUACGCCUGCAUGACAGUUUUCACUUGUGGCUUACCUGAGUGGCGAGAGGCACACUCAUUGUUGAAAAGGCAGUGAGGGACAGAUGCCGUUGGGUUAACUUGGGUGCCAUUCGGUGUUGUCUUUGUGAAUCAAUUUUAAACAUUUCAGUGAUGUCUCCCCAUUCUGCCAAUUUGUCCCCUAUGUAAAAUCCAUAUUUUCGCAAAUUGUUUCUGAUGUUUUCAUUAAAUGGGGGGGGGUCGAAUAAAAAAUGAAUCUUCUGGCUUUUGACAAAGAAGUACGGUUUUUCUUCUGUUAUACCCAGGUUUCUACAGGCUGCCAGGUUGUUGCUGCCUUGGUCCAUUACCAGCACCAUGGGAGUGAAGCCAGUGUCAAGCACCUUUUCCACCGCCUCCAUGAUUUUGGUUUUUAAGACCCCAUGCUUCAUGGUCCCAGAUGACAAGAAGUACCCUAUGGGUUGUUUCCAUUUCCCAGUUAGACUACGGAUCAUGAAAACCCCUGCAUGGUUGGCUGGUCUUCCCCCUUCGUCAUACCCUUCUACUUCAUCUUUCGAGAUGUUAUAAUUUAGGCUACAUUUCAAUGUAAUUUCAUCAAAUGUGAUGGCAACGUGCCUAUCUCGCUCUUCCAUAUGCUGCACUUGAUGUUUAAGUGCAUACAGCACAGGUUCAUGCCAUCCCGGCCCGAUGUCUACUCUCUGCAAGAUAUUUGAAAGGGUCCUGGCUGUAGGGAGCUUGAAAAUUCUCCUCAUGGUUCGGUAGGCUUUUGGCCCUGUACCCUUAACCUGUAACGCCCAACUUUUCAUGAAGUUGCUCCACCGAAUGGCCCUUGGUUUUUUUUUUUGGCAUUAUCAAUUUGCUCGUUGACAAAUUGUGCGGCUUGUUUUGGCAAUACUUUGGAAAUUUCCCUCUUUAAUGUUUGUUUGCUGAUAGAUGGUGUCUUUUUCUUUAGCCUUGACAGCUUUGAUUUGUAGCAGCCAAUUUUUCUUUUCAGUUUUUUCCACUGUGUUGUCAUUGCUGACACUGGCCAGUACAUCAGUGCCUAAAAAGAAAUGUGACAACUGUAACAACAGACUUAUGCACAGACUACUACCUAUGCAGUGUUCAACACUCAGAAUGUAUCUGUUACCACCAUUUGCCAUUAAAUCACUUACUAUCCAGGA
Engraulis encrasicolus (European anchovy) is the source of this 2554-nucleotide long non-coding RNA. RefSeq lists it as uncharacterized. The record is from RefSeq and is a predicted model, not a curated record. The transcript has 2 exons. NCBI's taxonomy places the organism in Eukaryota, Metazoa, Chordata, Actinopteri, Clupeiformes, Engraulidae.